CUGGACUCCCCAAGACUGAAUGUUUCCACCUCAGGAUGCAAAAUCACAACAUGCUACAUGUACAGCUUAAAGCAUUUCAAAUGGAAUUGAAAUUUUUGAAGCUGACGAGAUUCACUCUGCUAGGGGUGAUGUUACCAAAGAAGCAAUCCAAGUGGUGACCUGCAAGUUGCAAGG
Rosa rugosa (rugosa rose) is the source of this 174-nucleotide long non-coding RNA. RefSeq lists it as uncharacterized. The transcript is spliced from 3 exons. The record is from RefSeq and is a predicted model, not a curated record. NCBI's taxonomy places the organism in Eukaryota, Viridiplantae, Streptophyta, Magnoliopsida, Rosales, Rosaceae.